GACAGAAGGUGCAAACGUUGUUCGGAAUUACUGGGCGUAAAGGGCGCGUAGGCGGCCUGAUAAGUCGGGGGUGAAAUCCUGUGGCUUAACCACAGGGCUGCCUCCGAGACUGUCGGGCUCGAGCACAGUAGAGGCAGGUGGAAUUCCCGGUGUAGCGGUGGAAUGCGUAGAGAUCGGGAAGAACAUCGGUGGCGAAGGCGGCCUGCCGGGCUGUUGCUGACGCUGAGGCGCGACAGCGUGGGGAGCAAACAGG
Molecule: ribosomal RNA, 253 nt
Filed under: uncultured bacterium
Lineage: Bacteria
Description: partial 16S ribosomal RNA
Rfam family: Bacterial small subunit ribosomal RNA
Source: RNAcentral